GACGAACGCUGGCGGCGUGCUUAACACAUGCAAGUCGAGCGGAAAGGCCCUUCGGGGUACUCGAGCGGCGAACGGGUGAGUAACACGUGAGUAACCUGCCCCAGACUUUGGGAUAACCCUCGGAAACGGGGGCUAAUACCGGAUACGACACAGCUUCGCAUGGGGUCUGUGUGGAAAGUUUUUCGGUUUGGGAUGGGCUCGCGGCCUAUCAGCUUGUUGGUGGGGUGAUGGCCUACCAAGGCGACGACGGGUAGCCGGCCUGAGAGGGCGACCGGCCACACUGGGACUGAGACACGGCCCAGACUCCUACGGGAGGCAGCAGUGGGGAAUAUUGCACAAUGGGCGGAAGCCCGAUGCAGCGACGCCGCGUGAGGGAUGACGGCCUUCGGGUUGUAAACCUCUUUCAGCAGGGGCGAAGCGUAAGUGACGGUACCUGCAGAAGAAGCGCCGGCCAACUACGUG
RNAcentral lists this ribosomal RNA (462 nucleotides) under uncultured bacterium. Its description in RNAcentral is "partial 16S ribosomal RNA". It matches the Rfam family "Bacterial small subunit ribosomal RNA", at positions 28 to 507 of the family's 1533-position model. The record is from RNAcentral.